This 72-nucleotide transfer RNA is filed under the name Camelus bactrianus (Bactrian camel). It matches the Rfam family "tRNA". From Rfam's summary of the family: Transfer RNA (tRNA) molecules are approximately 80 nucleotides in length. Their secondary structure includes four short double-helical elements and three loops (D, anti-codon, and T loops). The record is from Rfam by way of RNAcentral. RNAcentral also lists the same sequence under 2 other names. Lineage: Eukaryota; Metazoa; Chordata; Mammalia; Artiodactyla; Camelidae.
GAGGGUAGAGCUCAGUGGGAGAGCUUGUGCUUAGCAUGCACGAGGUCCUGGGUUCAAUCCCCAGCAGCUCCA